This 97-nucleotide small RNA is filed under the name Staphylococcus aureus. Its description in RNAcentral is "HMPRFS0000_0453". The record is from RNAcentral. Lineage: Bacteria; Bacillati; Bacillota; Bacilli; Caryophanales; Staphylococcaceae.
GUGGAAGAGUCCUGAAUUUAUCUGUAAAUCCCUAUCUAUCGGGUGUGAAGCACAACGGGAUCAGUUUUAUUUAACGAACAUUAUAGAUUCCUUAAUU